UUAACGUGGUACGCGAGCUGGGUGCAGAACGUCGUGAGACAGCUCGGUCCCGAUCUGCCGUGGGCGUUAGAGAUUUGAGAAGAGUUGCUCCUAGUACGAGAGGACCGGAGAGAACGAACCACUGGCGUUCCGGUUGUUUCGCCAGAAGCAUUGCCGGGUAGCUACGUUUGGACGGGAUAAAAGCUGAAAGCAUCUAAGCGUGAAGCCUCCUUCAAGAUUAGAUCUCUCUGAUGAAAAUCAGUAAGGA
This 247-nucleotide ribosomal RNA is filed under the name Francisella tularensis subsp. holarctica. RNAcentral's name for it is "partial 23S ribosomal RNA". It matches the Rfam family "Bacterial large subunit ribosomal RNA", at positions 2588 to 2834 of the family's 2925-position model. The record is from RNAcentral. Lineage: Bacteria; Pseudomonadati; Pseudomonadota; Gammaproteobacteria; Thiotrichales; Francisellaceae.